UACGAAGGGUGCUAGCGUUGUUAGGAAUCACUGGGCGUAAAGCGCGCGUAGGCGGCUUAUCAAGUCAGAGGUGAAAUCCCCAGGCUCAACCUGGGAAUUGCCUUUGAAACUGCUAGGCUAGAGUGUCGGAGGGGAUGGCGGAAUUGCUAAUGUAGAGGUGAAAUUCGUAGAUAUUAGCAGGAACACCGGUGGCGAAGGCGGCCAUCUGGACGACAACUGACGCUGAGGCGCGAAAGCGUGGGGAUCAAACAGG
This 253-nucleotide ribosomal RNA is filed under the name uncultured bacterium. RNAcentral describes it as "partial 16S ribosomal RNA". It matches the Rfam family "Bacterial small subunit ribosomal RNA", at positions 524 to 776 of the family's 1533-position model. The record is from RNAcentral.